GUGGGGAAUAUUGGACAAUGGGCACAAGCCUGAUCCAGCCAUGCCGCGUGAGUGAUGAAGGCCCUAGGGUUGUAAAGCUCUUUCACCGGUGAAGAUAAUGACGGUAACCGGAGAAGAAGCCCCGGCUAACUUCGUGCCAGCAGCCGCGGUAAUACGAAGGGGGCUAGCGUUGUUCGGAAUUACUGGGCGUAAAGCGCACGUAGGCGGGUAUUUAAGUCAGGGGUGAAAUCCCGGAGCUCAACUCCGGAACUGCCUUUGAUACUGGGUACCUAGAGUAUGGAAGAGGUAAGUGGAAUUCCGAGUGUAGAGGUGAAAUUCGUAGAUAUUCGGAGGAACACCAGUGGCGAAGGCGGCUUACUGGUCCAUUACUGACGCUGAGGUGCGAAAGCGUGGGGAGCAAACAGGAUUAGAAACCCUGGUAGUCC
RNAcentral lists this ribosomal RNA (425 nucleotides) under uncultured bacterium. RNAcentral's name for it is "partial 16S ribosomal RNA". It matches the Rfam family "Bacterial small subunit ribosomal RNA", at positions 354 to 796 of the family's 1533-position model. The record is from RNAcentral.